Molecule: long non-coding RNA, 1023 nt
Organism: Eucalyptus grandis
Lineage: Eukaryota; Viridiplantae; Streptophyta; Magnoliopsida; Myrtales; Myrtaceae
Exons: 3
Source: RefSeq, a predicted model, not a curated record
GUCGAGAUCAGGCAAGUCGAUGGGCUGGCAAUGGCAGAAGCCAUGCACGCCUACCGAUCACCCUUAAAAGCGAGGGGGCUCGCUCAUUUGAGGGGGUUCUAGUUUUGGCAGAGAGAGAGAGAGCAAGCUAGAGAGAGAGGAGCUCGUGAGGUUCCCUGACCGUCACUGGAGGCUCACCAUUCCUCGCAGCAGCUCUUUUUGCACCAGGUACUUUAGAGCUUCGUUUAGGGCUAGGGAUUCGGCGUGAGCUGCAGAGGUUGCCUUCAUCGAUUUCGCAAAUCCAUCAACGAUCCUUCCAGUAUAAUCGCGGCAUAUGCAAGCGAUCACUGCAUCCAGGACUCCUUCUUCAAACGACCAUCUAUAGUAACCUUCAGACCUCCUUUUCUCGGUGGAAUCCAAAUCUGACGGUGCUUCUCGGAUCUGGAACUUGGUGCCUGAAGAUAGAGUUGUCGCGCGCCUUCCAUGUAUACCAUAAAACAGUGGCUACGUGCUCUAGUAAAGGUGAUGUUGUUGUUUUCUCUGUGAGUUUCAGUAACCAUCUGUCAAUUCUGGUUAAACCCAAUCUUGAGAUUUGCAAAUUCACUGAUGGGUCCAACCAGAUUUGUCUUGUCCAGGGACAGAACAGGAAAAUAUGUUCCGAUGUUUCAACUUCAUGAUUGCAGAGAGAGCACAUUGGUUCAGGAAUAAUCUUCCUUUUCCAAAGGUUUUCCUUCGAUGGAACCGCAUCCUGACAUAGACUCCAUAUGAAUAUUUUAAUUUUCGAGCUUGUCUCCAUAUUCCAUAACUGGUUCCAUAGUUUAUGAGGGGGAUGGAAAGAAGUGGAAGGUUGAAUCUGUUUGUGCUCUGUCUCUUUAACGUAAAUUCUCCUGUCUUCGUGCCUGUCCAAAGCAAUUUGUCAUGUGUUGUUUGUGGCUGAUAGGGAUUGAAAGAAUUUCCUGAGUAGUAGGUUCAUCAAAAAAGUCCAGUAGCUUUGUCUCAUCCCAUCUAUCCUCAUUUCUGAGUAUCAAACCGUCCACUGUAUUG